Molecule: ribosomal RNA, 286 nt
Filed under: uncultured Planctomycetales bacterium
Lineage: Bacteria; Pseudomonadati; Planctomycetota; Planctomycetia; Planctomycetales
Description: partial 16S ribosomal RNA
Rfam family: Bacterial small subunit ribosomal RNA
Source: RNAcentral
UAUUUUAGCAUUUUAAAUGACUAAAGGUUUACUGCUUGGGAUGGCUNNCNUCCCAUUAGCUAGUUGGUAAGGUAACGGCUUACCAAGGCUAUGACGGGUAGGUGGUCUGAGAGGAUGGUCACCCACACUGGGACUGAGACACUGCCCAGACUNCUGCGGGAGGCUGNAGUCGAGAAUCUUCCGCAAUGCGNNCAAGCGUGACGGAGCAAUGCCGCGUGAAGGAUGAAGGCUUUCGGGUCGUAAACUUCUGUCAGAGGGGNNAAAUUAUGAUGGUACCCUCAGAGGA